RNAcentral lists this transfer RNA (82 nucleotides) under Mycolicibacterium thermoresistibile. RNAcentral describes it as "tRNA-Gly(gcc)". The record is from RNAcentral. Lineage: Bacteria; Bacillati; Actinomycetota; Actinomycetes; Mycobacteriales; Mycobacteriaceae.
GCCGGUUCGGGUCGGCGGCGGCGAGCAGCGCCGCGGCCUGCCGGGCCGCGUCGGCCACAUGUUCGCGCCAGGUGAUCCGGCG